GUGGGUGUAGCUCAGCUGGUUAGAGCGCAGGAUUGUGGCUCCUGAGGCCGUGGGUUCGACCCCCAUCACUCACC
This 74-nucleotide transfer RNA is filed under the name Acetohalobium arabaticum DSM 5501. It matches the Rfam family "tRNA". From Rfam's summary of the family: Transfer RNA (tRNA) molecules are approximately 80 nucleotides in length. Their secondary structure includes four short double-helical elements and three loops (D, anti-codon, and T loops). The record is from Rfam by way of RNAcentral. Lineage: Bacteria; Bacillati; Bacillota; Clostridia; Halanaerobiales; Halobacteroidaceae.